RNAcentral lists this ribosomal RNA (1422 nucleotides) under Pediococcus pentosaceus. RNAcentral's name for it is "bacterial SSU rRNA". It matches the Rfam family "Bacterial small subunit ribosomal RNA". Lineage: Bacteria; Bacillati; Bacillota; Bacilli; Lactobacillales; Lactobacillaceae. The record is from RNAcentral.
GCAGUCGAACGAACUUCCGUUAAUUGAUUAUGACGUACUUGUACUGAUUGAGAUUUUAACACGAAGUGAGUGGCGAACGGGUGAGUAACACGUGGGUAACCUGCCCAGAAGUAGGGGAUAACACCUGGAAACAGAUGCUAAUACCGUAUAACAGAGAAAACCGCAUGGUUUUCUUUUAAAAGAUGGCUCUGCUAUCACUUCUGGAUGGACCCGCGGCGUAUUAGCUAGUUGGUGAGGUAAAGGCUCACCAAGGCAGUGAUACGUAGCCGACCUGAGAGGGUAAUCGGCCACAUUGGGACUGAGACACGGCCCAGACUCCUACGGGAGGCAGCAGUAGGGAAUCUUCCACAAUGGACGCAAGUCUGAUGGAGCAACGCCGCGUGAGUGAAGAAGGGUUUCGGCUCGUAAAGCUCUGUUGUUAAAGAAGAACGUGGGUAAGAGUAACUGUUUACCCAGUGACGGUAUUUAACCAGAAAGCCACGGCUAACUACGUGCCAGCAGCCGCGGUAAUACGUAGGUGGCAAGCGUUAUCCGGAUUUAUUGGGCGUAAAGCGAGCGCAGGCGGUCUUUUAAGUCUAAUGUGAAAGCCUUCGGCUCAACCGAAGAAGUGCAUUGGAAACUGGGAGACUUGAGUGCAGAAGAGGACAGUGGAACUCCAUGUGUAGCGGUGAAAUGCGUAGAUAUAUGGAAGAACACCAGUGGCGAAGGCGGCUGUCUGGUCUGCAACUGACGCUGAGGCUCGAAAGCAUGGGUAGCGAACAGGAUUAGAUACCCUGGUAGUCCAUGCCGUAAACGAUGAUUACUAAGUGUUGGAGGGUUUCCGCCCUUCAGUGCUGCAGCUAACGCAUUAAGUAAUCCGCCUGGGGAGUACGACCGCAAGGUUGAAACUCAAAAGAAUUGACGGGGGCCCGCACAAGCGGUGGAGCAUGUGGUUUAAUUCGAAGCUACGCGAAGAACCUUACCAGGUCUUGACAUCUUCUGACAGUCUAAGAGAUUAGAGGUUCCCUUCGGGGACAGAAUGACAGGUGGUGCAUGGUUGUCGUCAGCUCGUGUCGUGAGAUGUUGGGUUAAGUCCCGCAACGAGCGCAACCCUUAUUACUAGUUGCCAGCAUUAAGUUGGGCACUCUAGUGAGACUGCCGGUGACAAACCGGAGGAAGGUGGGGACGACGUCAAAUCAUCAUGCCCCUUAUGACCUGGGCUACACACGUGCUACAAUGGAUGGUACAACGAGUCGCGAGACCGCGAGGUUAAGCUAAUCUCUUAAAACCAUUCUCAGUUCGGACUGUAGGCUGCAACUCGCCUACACGAAGUCGGAAUCGCUAGUAAUCGCGGAUCAGCAUGCCGCGGUGAAUACGUUCCCGGGCCUUGUACACACCGCCCGUCACACCAUGAGAGUUUGUAACACCCAAAGCCGGUGGGGU